GUCCACGCCGUAAACGAUGGGCACUAGGUGUGGGGGGUGUCGACUCCCUCCGUGCCGAAGCUAACGCAUUAAGUGCCCCGCCUGGGGAGUACGGCCGCAAGGCUAAAACUCAAAGGAAUUGACGGGGGCCCGCACAAGCAGCGGAGCAUGUGGUUUAAUUCGACGCAACGCGAAGAACCUUACCUGGGCUUGACAUGUGGCUGACCGGCCUGGAAACAGGUCUUCCCUUCGGGGCAGCUUCACAGGUGGUGCAUGGCUGUCGU
This 263-nucleotide ribosomal RNA is filed under the name uncultured bacterium. Its description in RNAcentral is "partial 16S ribosomal RNA". It matches the Rfam family "Bacterial small subunit ribosomal RNA", at positions 793 to 1055 of the family's 1533-position model. The record is from RNAcentral.